UGGGGAAUAUUGCACAAUGGGCGCAAGCCUGAUGCAGCCAUGCCGUGUGUGUGAAGAAGGCCUUCGGGUUGUAAAGCACUUUCAGCGGGGAGGAAGGCGAUAAGGCUAAUAAUUUUGUCGAUUGACGUUACCCGCAGAAGAAGCACCGGCUAACUCCGUGCCAGCAGCCGCGGUAAUACGGAGGGUGCAAGCGUUAAUCGGAAUUACUGGGCGUAAAGCGCACGCAGGCUGUCUGUCAAGUCGGAUGUGAAAUCCCCGGGCUCAGCCUGGGAACUGCAUUCGAAGCUGGCAGGCUAGAGUCUUGUAGAGGCGGGUAGAAUUCCAGGUGUGGCGGUGAAAUGCGUAGAGAUCUGGCAGAAUACCGGUGACGAAAGCGGCCCGCUGGACAAAGACUAACGCUAAGGUGCGAAAGCGUGGGGAGCAAACAGG
This 429-nucleotide ribosomal RNA is filed under the name Chloroflexota bacterium. RNAcentral's name for it is "Chloroflexi bacterium partial 16S ribosomal RNA". It matches the Rfam family "Bacterial small subunit ribosomal RNA", at positions 355 to 776 of the family's 1533-position model. Lineage: Bacteria; Bacillati; Chloroflexota. The record is from RNAcentral.